GCCCUUAGAUGUUCUGGGCCGCACGCGCGCUACACUGAUCAAGUCAGCGAGUCUACAACCUUGGCCGGAAGGUCUGGGUAAUCUUUUGAAACUUGAUCGUGCUGGGGAUAGUCCAUUGCAAUUAUUGGACUUCAACGAGGAAUUCCUAGUAAGCGUGAGUCAUCAGCUCGCGUUGAUUACGUCCCUGCCCUUUGUACACACCGCCCGUCGCUACUACCGAUUGAAUGGCUUAGUGAGGCUUUCGGAUUGGAUUCUCGCAGCUGGCAACAGCAGCAAGGAACUGAAAAGUCAUCCAAACUUGGUCAUUUAGAGGAAGUAAAAGUCGUAACAAGGUUUCCGUAGGUGAACCUGCGGAAGGAUCAUUCACAAUAAGUGUUUAUGGCACUUUCAAAUCCAUACCCACCUUGUGUGCAAUGUAUAAGAGUCCUUUCCAACUUGGAUUGGACUUGAUUUUUCUCUCACACGUCUUCAAUUGCAAGUCUAAGCUUUCAGAGUGAUCAAAAAACUCGAAUACAACUUUCAACAACGGAUCUCUUGGCUCUCGCAUCGAUGAAGAACGCAGCGAAAUGCGAUACGUAAUGAGAAUUGCAGAAUUCAGUGAAUCAUCGAAUCUUUGAACGCACAUUGCGCCUUCUGGUAUUCCGGAAGGCAUGCUUGUUUGAGUAUCAGUAACAACCUCAGCCAAGUUUUUUGUCGCCUUUGGCGCGGAAAGCAACAGCUGGAUUUGAGCAAAAUCCCUUGGGAUUUCAAUUCGACGACCUUCGGGGAGCAAUUGAGCCGUGAGGGAUGCUUGAAAUACAGGUUCGGGCUGACCAAAUGUCCUGGGCUACAAGCAUUUCAUACUUGAUCCCGUUAAACGGAUCAUUUCCAUUGCUGCAGCCAUCACAAACAGGAUCAAACGUGUCCAGUGUUUCUGACUGAUGCAGGAAGUUGGAGCCAACACAGAGCGAUCUGUGGUCGGUUCUUUCUAACUCGAUCUCAAAUCGAGUAAGACUACCCGCUGAACUUAAGCAUAUCAAUAAGCGGAGGAAAAGAAACUAACAAGGAUUCCCCUAGUAACGGCGAGUGAAGCGGGAUGAGCUCAAAUUUGAAAUCUGGCUGGCUUCGUCAGUCCGAGUUGUAGUUUAAAGAGGCGUUUUCGGUGGCAGCCUGGGUACAAAUCCUUUGGAACAGGGUAUCAUAGAGGGUGAGAAUCCCGUCUCUGACUCGGUGUCCUGCUACUAUGUGAUACGUCUUCAAAGAGUCGAGUUGUUUGGGAAUGCAGCUCAAAAUGGGUGGUAAAUCUCAUCUAAGGCUAAAUACCGGCGAGAGACCGAUAGCGAACAAGUACCGUGAGGGAAAGAUGAAAAGAACUUUGAAAAGAGAGUUAAACAGUGCGUGAAAUUGUUGAAAGGGAAACGUUUGACACCAGCUUUGCGGGUGGGAAAUCAGUCGCGUUGCAGUGGAGAGUGGCAAGGGUUCAGACCGCAAGGCUGGCCUUUGUCUCAUCUUUGUUGCGGGCGAUGCACUUUUUCAUCUGCAGGUCAACAUCAGUUUCCUCCGCUGGACAAAACCUCGAGAGAAUGUAGCAGCUCUGGCUGUGUUAUAGCUCUGGGGCGAUACAGUGGUGGGGACUGAGGUUUCGCAGUGUGUGCUCUCGGGCAAGGCUGACUGGGUGCUACGGAAUGGUUCGGUGUACAAUGCUUGCAUUUUGCGCCGAGUCUGUUCUGUACUCGCUCAACUCGGUUCUUCCACGCUUAGG
This 1741-nucleotide ribosomal RNA is filed under the name uncultured fungus. RNAcentral's name for it is "bacterial SSU rRNA". The stretch from base 974 to 1741 matches the Rfam family "Eukaryotic large subunit ribosomal RNA", at positions 1 to 621 of the family's 3401-position model. The record is from RNAcentral. Lineage: Eukaryota; Fungi.